Molecule: long non-coding RNA, 1208 nt
Filed under: Sorghum bicolor (sorghum)
Lineage: Eukaryota; Viridiplantae; Streptophyta; Magnoliopsida; Poales; Poaceae
Description: long non-coding RNA (SBIC_LNC015773)
Source: RNAcentral
ACAUGCUUUUGCAUAAAAUUCUUCCAGAUUAGAGUGAAGUGUUAUGGAGUUUAGUACCUGCACUUAAGUCUUAAGUGAUAAAAAGACAAAAUAAUUAAGUCAAGCACUAUUCCUCCUGUCUAUACUUCACCUUUGUUCCAGAGUUUUUCAAAAGUUUUCGAAAUAAAACUCAGAGUUCCCAGCAAUGAUUCUCUCAAAUCUCUCUAUAUUUGGUAUUUGUGGAUCCUUACCAUAAUGUCACUUACCUAUAGCUAAUGUAAUAUUUAAGUGGAGCUCAUAGGAGUGAAAAAUAGCUCAUACAUAUGUUGUCUAAUCGAGCUAUGGAUCCAAAAGGAACUCAGCAUAUAAUUAAAUCAAGAUGUGCAUGCGUGGUGGAGUAAAUGAUAGUGAUGGUAAAAAUAUAUAAGUAAUAAUAAAACUUAGUUCUCAUUGCUCCUCAUAUUGCUAUCUCUCCUCCUCUUUGAUCUUUGCUUUGGGGGAACAUGGGCUAUCUCUUUUUCUUUUUCUUUUCUUUUUUUUCAGGUGGGUAGUAGAUACCCCUAAUUCUAGUGUCGGACACUUGUCCAUUUUUUCCGCUCAAGUGGGCAUCUUUGUACCCCUAAUUCUACUUCGGACACUUGUCCAUUUUUACCUCUGAUCUCACUCUUUUUGUUUCUUUUUCGAGGUUCCGGGUACUUGCCCCUUUUUAUUUCCUCGCAUAUUUUUACAUAACCCAUGCCUCUUCUGCAUUGAAUCUUUUUAGAGAGAGAGAAUAACAAUAUUUGGGACAGUGAGUGAUAAUAUUUUUAGCAAUUUUAAUGAUUGGUGAUGAAUGCUAUGGUAGAUGUGUGCAAGUGAAUAUCUUAAUUUAACCACAUGAAAAGCUCCUAAGGGUCAACACAGCUCGAUCAAACUCAAUGUAAAGAUGUUAUAGCAAGUAUGGCUGUGAUAGGUAGUUUUGUAUACUAGGAACUCGUCAUGUGAUUUGUAAGUUUUCAAAAUAAAUCUCCAGAACUUAGUGUAGUAGGAACUAGAUAAACAGCAGCUCAACUUUAUAUCAUGCCUUUCUCUUACCUAGACUUUAGUUUUAUGCUUCCCAAAGAUAGUAAAUUCAGUUUUAAUAAUUCCUGGAAGAACUCUAAUGUAAAAGCUAGGUACUUGAAAGUAAGCAACCAGAGCAACUGUUCAUUAUUUCCAUCAUGUAUCUUUUUAGUCUUUUAUUUUUUUAG